AUACUACUGUGUAUGCUGCUGCUUCUCUGGGUCUAGCCAUACAGAGGGACUGCCACACUUCAAGUGGAUGCUUGGGAAUGUCUGCAAGGGAUCCAGUGAUGUUACCUGUCCUCAAGUCUCACAGCAGUGGGUACCAACACCAGCUCUGAUGGGGGUGACAGGAUUCCAUUUAACAAAGUAUAAUGGAAGGUAUCAAGAAUGGUGCUUCCUUCAUGAAUAGUAUAGACCUUGCCAACGGAUGAAAUUGACAGAAAUAAGAGGGAAUUAUUAAAUCUACUUUGGAGGUUAAGAGAGACCUUUCUUAAACACACAAUAAAUGCAUUAUAGGGGCUCAGAUGUUUCUGGGAAGAUUGUGAAGAUAUAGACUGAUUGGUGUUCAUGUAAUUGUGACGGUAGAGACUGAGAGCAGCAAAAUAUUAUGUAUGCAGUUGACAUCUUACACGAAGAAUUUGGAGUAUGGACAUUACAUGAUUGUCUCUCAGCCACCCUAUGGAAAACUGAAUUAUAUGGCUGUACUUCCCUGGAAUUUCA
Molecule: long non-coding RNA, 531 nt
Organism: Cercocebus atys (sooty mangabey)
Lineage: Eukaryota; Metazoa; Chordata; Mammalia; Primates; Cercopithecidae
Exons: 3
Source: RefSeq, a predicted model, not a curated record